Molecule: ribosomal RNA, 491 nt
Filed under: uncultured bacterium
Lineage: Bacteria
Description: partial 16S ribosomal RNA
Rfam family: Bacterial small subunit ribosomal RNA
Source: RNAcentral
GAUGAACGCUGGCUACAGGCUUAACACAUGCAAGUCGAGGGGAAACGACGGGGAAGCUUGCUUCCCCGGGCGUCGACCGGCGCACGGGUGAGUAACGCGUAUCCAACCUGCCUCUGACUGAGGGAUAACCCGUCGAAAGUCGGCCUAAUACCUCAUGGCAUCGUCUGCGGGCAUCCAACGACGAUUAAAGAUUUCAUCGGUCAGGGAUGGGGAUGCGUCUGAUUAGCCUGUUGGCGGGGUAACGGCCCACCAAGGCUACGAUCAGUAGGGGUUCUGAGAGGAAGGUCCCCCACAUUGGAACUGAGACACGGUCCAAACUCCUACGGGAGGCAGCAGUGAGGAAUAUUGGUCAAUGGGCGGGAGCCUGAACCAGCCAAGUAGCGUGCAGGAUGACGGCCCUAUGGGUUGUAAACUGCUUUUAGGCGGGGAUAAAGUGAGGGACGUGUCCUUCAUUGCAGGUACCGCAUGAAUAAGGACCGGCUAAUUCCGUG